CUUCUCCUUCUUCUCCUUCUCCUUCUUCUCCUUCUCCUUCUUCUUCUCUUCUCCUUCCCUUCUUCUUCUUCUUCCUUCUUUUUCAUUUUUCCUCUUUCUUCUCCUCUUGUCCUCUUCUUCGACCUAAAUUAGCUAAUUAUGCCUUUUUGGAGCUAAUUAUGUCAUUUUGGAGGAUAAUUAGGUAAGUAUAAGUCAUUGUUUAUUAAAUAGGCCAUUAUGAGCUUAUUAUGUCAUUUUGGAGCUAAAUUAGUC
Molecule: long non-coding RNA, 252 nt
Filed under: Hordeum vulgare
Lineage: Eukaryota; Viridiplantae; Streptophyta; Magnoliopsida; Poales; Poaceae
Description: long non-coding RNA (HVUL_LNC001614)
Source: RNAcentral